Molecule: long non-coding RNA, 1449 nt
Organism: Photinus pyralis (common eastern firefly)
Lineage: Eukaryota; Metazoa; Arthropoda; Insecta; Coleoptera; Lampyridae
Exons: 6
Source: RefSeq, a predicted model, not a curated record
GUGUUUGUUUCGUGCUUCGACCAGGGAUCGAACCAAAACGGAAAAUGUUAUUGGUGCAAGUGUGAAAGAGUGCGGUUGUGUUGUGUUUCUUUCCUGCGAUGGAUAAUGGUCAUUGGGAGAGCCCAAAUUAAUAAGGCUAGGAUCCGAGAAGGGCAGCCUUAUAAAGGUAGGAUUUUCUUUUUUUGCAUGCUGGUGUUGGGUUUAUUGCACUUUUUAUUUUAUGUAUCUAGCAGUGGGGAAAAGUGAAUAGUGCAUAACCAAAAGGUAAGGUAGUGAGUCUGGCUGACCUUCGUACCGUAAAAUUAAGUGAGGUAUGUCCGUCUUCUCGCCCAUCUUAUUUACGUAAGCGUGGCUGCAAGUUCUUCUCGCAGAAUCAAUCAAUUUACUUCACAAUAUUCAGUAUUGCAGCUCAUUCUUCCGUUUCGAAGUUGAGCGAUUUCGAAGAGUUCCAUACCUCACUUAGUAACACUAGAAGGUCAACUUUGCGCUUUUUAGAAAAAGGUAAGUGCGUUUGAAUCACCAUAAGCGUUUCGUUUACUACUGCGUUUUUAUAAUUCUUUAAUAAACGAAUGCGCAGAAAACUUGGAACAGUGUUGGCCUAAUGGGCCCACUUACUCAUUUUCUCUGUUGUUCACAGCGUCAUCGAUGGCAUUGCAAUCUGUUGAAGAUCCAACACUGUCAUGCUCCAGGUCAACCCACGGUUCGGUGGCAGAAUCCCGUGGAUGCCGCUUAGACGAGCGAGUAAUGGACAACGGAGAAAGAUGUCUACCAGAUGUUGUGCAGUGCCGCCUAUGGUUCUUCCCAGGCGAGACCGACUUAAUAAGGCUAAGGAUUCCAGAAGGGCAGCCUUAUCAAGGUAGGAUUUUUUUUCUAUGCAUGGGCAUUUUCUUUUUUUUAUGUAUUUAGCAGUGCAGUAGGGGGAAGUGAAUAGUGCGUCGAAUUUCGCGAACUUUCGUGCAAUAAUACGAUUUGUCUUGUGACUGUCCUCUAAGUCUAUCAUCUUGGUAAUGUAAGAUUGGACCAAAUGGUCUGCUUCGCAGCGUCAACCAACUUUCCCCAUUUUAAUUGGUAUGACUAUGAAUUCAUAGCCACACUGUUAGAAUGGAGUAAUUUGAUUUUCUCUGCAAAACAAAUAUUUCGUUUCCAAGCUGAAUGACUUCGAGAACUGUUAGAAUUCAUGUAUUAUUACACAAAAAUAGGUAUUUCUGGUUUUAAAAGUAGGUAACCAAUUAAAUCACUAGAUUACUUGAAUUCUUACUAAUUCCAAUGUUUUGCUCUUCGCAGUCAGUAGCAGACCACUAUAUCUACUGUUGUGAGGGGACCUGGCGUGAUUGAUAGAUUUGAAUCCUUUCAACUACUCAUCCUGUUGAUCACACGGAAUUUGUUGAAAUAAAGAAAGAUUCCAGAAGGGCAGCCUUAUCAAGGUAGGAUCUUUGUUUUUGCAUGCGA